This 525-nucleotide ribosomal RNA is filed under the name Triticum aestivum (bread wheat). Its description in RNAcentral is "partial small subunit ribosomal RNA". Lineage: Eukaryota; Viridiplantae; Streptophyta; Magnoliopsida; Poales; Poaceae. The record is from RNAcentral.
AUGCUCUCUCAAGGUUUCAAAAGGUCUAAUUAUGAUAGUUGUGUUUAUUUGAAAACCGUCAAUGGUUCAACUAUUUAUCUGCUCCUUUAUGUUGAUGAUAUGCUUAUUGCUGCAAAGAGUAUGUCAGAGAUUAAUGAACUAAAGAAGCAAUUGAGUAAUGAAUUUGAGAUGAAGGAUUUGGGUGCAGCAAAGAAAAUUCUUGGCAUGGAAAUAUCCAGAGAUAGAUCGUCUGGAAAAGUAUAUCUAAGUCAGAAGGGAUAUAUUGAUAAAGUUCUUUGUCAUUUUAAUAUGCAUAAUGCCAAGCCAGUGAGUACACCAUUAGCUGCACACUUCAAAUUGUCAUCAGCUUUAUGUCCUAAGUCAGAUGCAGAUACUGAGUACAUGUCUAGAGUUCCCUAUUCAAGUGCAGUUGGUUCUCUUAUGUAUGUCAUGGUUUGUUCUCGUCCUGACUUAUCAUAUGCAUUGAGUGUUGUCAGUAGAUACAUGGCUAAUCCUGGAAAAGAGCAUUGGAAAGCAGUUCAGUGA